This 322-nucleotide long non-coding RNA is filed under the name Nicotiana benthamiana. RNAcentral describes it as "long non-coding RNA (NBEN_LNC011434)". Lineage: Eukaryota; Viridiplantae; Streptophyta; Magnoliopsida; Solanales; Solanaceae. The record is from RNAcentral.
UUUAUGAGUAGAUAUGAGUGAAAGAAGUAAGCUCUAGAUCACAACAACUUUGAACAAUAAUAUGGCUCUCAAAAGCUUUAUGAAAUUGAAUAUAAAAUGAUAAACAAAAGUAUGCAAGCUUAUAGCAAUGUAAUGAUCAGUUGUAGUAUGUUGUUGUGUUUUAAAACACUGAAAUGAAGCUGUAUUUAUAGUUGAAAAACUUGGCAUUAUCGUUUCCUAAUUGCCAAUUAAGAGUUGCUGAUUUUACUCACUGACAAUCGAUUGUCAAACCCGAACAAUCGAUUUUCUGCCAGUCAGACCAAUAUUCAAUCCCAGAUUUUAC